UACAGAGGGGGCAAGCGUUGUUCGGAAUUACUGGGCGUAAAGGGCGCGUAGGCGGCCGCCUAAGUCAGACGUGAAAUCCCUCGGCUCAACCGGGGAACUGCGUCUGAUACUGGGUGGCUUGAAUCCGGGAGAGGGAUGCGGAAUUCCAGGUGUAGCGGUGAAAUGCGUAGAUAUCUGGAGGAACACCGGUGGCGAAGGCGGCAUCCUGGACCGGUAUUGACGCUGAGGAGCGAAAGCCAGGGGAGCAAACGGG
This 253-nucleotide ribosomal RNA is filed under the name uncultured bacterium. Its description in RNAcentral is "partial 16S ribosomal RNA". It matches the Rfam family "Bacterial small subunit ribosomal RNA", at positions 524 to 776 of the family's 1533-position model. The record is from RNAcentral.